RNAcentral lists this transfer RNA (77 nucleotides) under Sphingomonas zeicaulis. RNAcentral describes it as "tRNA-Arg". It matches the Rfam family "tRNA". From Rfam's summary of the family: Transfer RNA (tRNA) molecules are approximately 80 nucleotides in length. Their secondary structure includes four short double-helical elements and three loops (D, anti-codon, and T loops). Lineage: Bacteria; Pseudomonadati; Pseudomonadota; Alphaproteobacteria; Sphingomonadales; Sphingomonadaceae. The record is from RNAcentral. RNAcentral also lists the same sequence under 1 other name.
GCGCCCGUAGCUCAGUUGGAUAGAGCACUAGCCUUCUAAGCUUGUGGUCGCAGGUUCGAAUCCUGCCGGGCGCGCCA